Molecule: ribosomal RNA, 510 nt
Filed under: uncultured bacterium
Lineage: Bacteria
Description: partial 16S ribosomal RNA
Rfam family: Bacterial small subunit ribosomal RNA
Source: RNAcentral
GACGAACGCUGGCGGCGUGCUUAACACAUGCAAGUCGAACGAAGAGCGAUGGAAGCUUGCUUCUAUCAAUCUUAGUGGCGAACGGGUGAGUAACGCGUAAUCAACCUGCCCUUCAGAGGGGGACAACAGUUGGAAACGACUGCUAAUACCGCAUACGAUCUAACCUCGGCAUCGAGGAAAGAUGAAAGGUGGCCUCUAUGUAUAAGCUAUCACUGAAGGAGGGGAUUGCGUCUGAUUAGCUAGUUGGAGGGGUAACGGCCCACCAAGGCGAUGAUCAGUAGCCGGUCUGAGAGGAUGAACGGCCACAUUGGGACUGAGACACGGCCCAGACUCCUACGGGAGGCAGCAGUGGGGAAUCUUCCGCAAUGGACGAAAGUCUGACGGAGCAACGCCGCGUGAGUGAUGACGGCCUUCGGGUUGUAAAGCUCUGUUAAUCGGGACGAAAGGCCUUCUUGCGAAUAGUGAGAAGGAUUGACGGUACCGGAAUAGAAAGCCACGGCUAACUACGUG